This 402-nucleotide ribosomal RNA is filed under the name uncultured bacterium. RNAcentral describes it as "bacterial SSU rRNA". It matches the Rfam family "Bacterial small subunit ribosomal RNA", at positions 355 to 774 of the family's 1533-position model. The record is from RNAcentral.
UGGGGAAUCUUGCGCAAUGGGCGAAAGCCUGACGCAGCCAUGCCGCGUGAAUGAUGAAGGUCUUAGGAUUGUAAAAUUCUUUCACCGGGGACGAUAAUGACGGUACCCGGAGAAGAAGCCCCGGCUAACUUCGUGCCAGCAGCCGCGGUAAUACGAAGGGGGCUAGCGUUGCUCGGAAUUACUGGGCGUAAAGGGAGCGUAGGCGGACAUUUAAGUCAGAGGUGAAAGCCCAGGGCUCAACCUUGGAAUUGCCUUUGAUACUGGAUGUCUUGAGUUCGGGAGAGGUGAGUGGAAUGCCGAGUGUAGAGGUGAAAUUCGUAGAUAUUCGGCGGAACACCAGUGGCGAAGGCGACUCACUGGCCCGAUACUGACGCUGAGGCGCGAAAGCGUGGGGAGCAAACA